This is a non-coding RNA of Labrus bergylta (ballan wrasse), 965 nucleotides long. The record is from RefSeq and is a predicted model, not a curated record. Lineage: Eukaryota; Metazoa; Chordata; Actinopteri; Labriformes; Labridae.
AACACGGAAGAAGAUGGAAACGAAGGGGUGAUGAAUGCAGAGCCAUGUGAAUUACAGUUUGCUCGACUACAUUUCAAACAAUUGUUAUACCAGUAGAAGACUAAUGCAGCGUUUUUUUUAAUUACAUGGUAGCAUCGUGAGUAUCUCCAGUGAUGCAAGUUUUUAUAUUUGAACUAAAGUUAAAUAUCUGGGUGUUAUUCUCUCCAAAAGAAAAAAAACUAACAAGAAAUGGCUUUCACAAACCUUUUCUCUCGUCUGUCUGCUGCUGAAGUAGACGUGAAGAGUCCUUUUCAACCAGACUUGUUGGCACACAGGAACGAGACUGGUAAUGGCAAAAGAGGCAAUGCAAGAAAGAGGAAACCUCAGGGUGAGCAGAUGGGCUGUUUGGAAAAGAGGCCAUGCAACCAGACCCAGAGCGCCAGAAGCUAUGAAGCCGCAUCCUUCAGAGAUGACGACCUUAAAGCCAAACACUACUAUAUGCAGAACAGUCAACAUACUAAUGCAGGCAAACGAGGAAGACACAACCACAGGGGUAAAGCUGGCCACCAUAACACGUCUCCCAAUGUUCACAAUAACAGAACCAACAAUAAUCAUAACUGGAACAUGCAACAUGAGCAAAAGGAGAGGACGGAGUGGCAGAACAAUCAACAUCGUCAGAGGGAUGGGUGGAGACCUGCGUACAGAGGGGGCAGACAUACUUCAAGAAAAGGUGGACGGGGCAAAGCGAAGGAAAAGCAGGACUCCGAGGUGAAACGCACAAGAUUCAUGUCAGAGGAGUUCAAGGAGCAGAAUGCGUUGUGUGUGGAUGGUCGCCUACUCUGUAAACAUUUCCUUUUGGGAAAGUGCAUUAAGGCAGGAUGGCGACUGCCAGCUGGAACAUAUUCAGGGUUACAACGAUCUCUUUAAGGAAGCGUGCAAGUUUUACACCAAGGAGCCUGCUUUAAAGGAGAGAGCUGCCCCUACAU